Cordylochernes scorpioides is the source of this 71-nucleotide non-coding RNA. Lineage: Eukaryota; Metazoa; Arthropoda; Arachnida; Pseudoscorpiones; Chernetidae. The record is from the annotation of a GenBank genome assembly.
GCAUCGGUGGCUUAGUGGUAGAAUGCUCGCCUGCCACGCGGGCGGCCCAGGUUCGAUUCCAGGCCUAUGCU